RNAcentral lists this signal recognition particle RNA (316 nucleotides) under Suricata suricatta (meerkat). RNAcentral's name for it is "Metazoan signal recognition particle RNA (ENSSSUG00005001512.1)". It matches the Rfam family "Metazoan signal recognition particle RNA". Rfam says of the family: The signal recognition particle (SRP) is a universally conserved ribonucleoprotein. It is involved in the co-translational targeting of proteins to membranes. The record is from RNAcentral. Lineage: Eukaryota; Metazoa; Chordata; Mammalia; Carnivora; Herpestidae.
GCCAGGUGCAGUGGCGCGUGCCUGUAGUCCCAGCUACUCGGGAGGCUGAGGCAGGAGGAUCGCUUGAGCCCAGGAGUUCUGGGCUGUAGUGCGCUAUGCGGAUAGAUUGGAUGUCCGCACUAAGUUCCGCAUCAGUAUGGUGACCUCCCAGGAGCAGGGGACCACCAGGUUGCCCAAGGAGGAGUGAACCGGCCCAGGUCGGAAAGAGAGCAGGUCAAAACUCCCCUGAUGAUCAAUACAUAUAAAAUUACAUUUCAAUAAACAUAAUUGAUGCCACUAAAACGUAGGGACACAUAAGAUUUACAGAAACUGUCGA